UUAUAUUUCUAUGGCAUCAAAGUCAAAAGGCAAUGAAGCUAUACACGCCUACCUAGCUUCCACAAAACAAACAUUUUAUACUCUUACAACUCCCUUUAUAAUUCAAAUGAUUAUCAAGCUUUGUUUUUAGUUUCAUUCUCCUUCAAUUCAAUUUGUGUAAGUCCUCUUUUAUUAGUCUUUCUAUUCCAUUUUUAUGUGAGUCAUGAAAAAUCCAAUUCAAUGAACCUAUUUUCGUUUUUCCAAAAGCUCUCAUCGUAAAAUCUCGAUUUAUUCUUCGUUCACCGUGGUAUCGUAUUUAGUUUUGGACAAUAGCUUCUCGGCACAUAGUACUUCAUUUUCAACCGUCGGAUCGUCGAUAUGAACUUUGGAGUGAGAUAUUUCUCGUGUACAUUGUAGCUGCGUAUUUAGGCUUAGAGUAUUGUGCUUGGAAGGAAAUCGGCCAAGGAAAUCACAGUUGCAUACGCUGUUGAUGAAAACUGUCAGCUAGCUGAUGCAGUUUAUCUUAAGGAUGCAAUAGACGAUCUCCCUCCCGUUAAUAAUGAUGAGAGCCAAGAUGAAGGCAGCUAUAGGACAACUCCUCGUACAGAGUUCCAAAAAUAUAUCAG
Molecule: long non-coding RNA, 605 nt
Organism: Trifolium pratense (red clover)
Lineage: Eukaryota; Viridiplantae; Streptophyta; Magnoliopsida; Fabales; Fabaceae
Exons: 3
Source: RefSeq, a predicted model, not a curated record